Molecule: ribosomal RNA, 453 nt
Filed under: uncultured bacterium
Lineage: Bacteria
Description: partial 16S ribosomal RNA
Rfam family: Bacterial small subunit ribosomal RNA
Source: RNAcentral
GAUGAACGCUGACAGAAUGCUUAACACAUGCAAGUCAACUUGAACUUCGGUUUGGGUGGCGGACGGGUGAGUAACGCGUACAGAACUUGCCUCACAGAUAGGGACAACAUUUGGAAACGAAUGCUAAUACCUGAUAUUAUGAUUAUAUGGCAUCGUAUAAUUAUGAAAGCUAUAUGCGCUGUGAGAGAGCUUUGCGUCCCAUUAGCUAGUUGGAGAGGUAACGGCUCACCAAGGCGAUGAUGGGUAGCCGGCCUGAGAGGGUGAUCGGCCACAAGGGGACUGAGACCCGGCCCUUACUCCUACGGGAGGCAGCAGUGGGGAAUAUUGGACAAUGGACCAAGAGUCUGAUCCAGCAAUUCUGUGUGCACGAUGAAGUUUUUCGGAAUGUAAAGUGCUUUCAGUUGGGAAGAAAAAAAUGACGGUACCAACAGAAGAAGUGACGGCUAAAUACGU